AGAAUCAACGCUGGCGGCGUGCCUAACACAUGCAAGUCGAACGAGAAAGUGGAGCAAUCCAUGAGUAAAGUGGCGCACGGGUGAGUAACACGUGACUAACCUACCCUUGAGUGGGGGAUAACCUAGAGAAAUCUGGGCUAAUACCGCAUAAUACCUACGGGUCAAAGGAGCAAUUCGCUUUAGGAGGGGGUCGCGGCCGAUUAGUUAGUUGGCGGGGUAAUGGCCCACCAAGACAGUGAUCGGUA
Molecule: ribosomal RNA, 245 nt
Filed under: uncultured bacterium
Lineage: Bacteria
Description: partial small subunit ribosomal RNA
Rfam family: Bacterial small subunit ribosomal RNA
Source: RNAcentral